UCUCAAAGAUUAAGCCAUGCAUGUCUAAGUAUAAGCAAUUAUACAGCGAAACUGCGAAUGGCUCAUUAAAUCAGUUAUCGUUUAUUUGAUAGUACCUUACUACUUGGACAACCGUGGUAAUUCUAGAGCUAAUACAUGCUGAAAACCCCGACUUUCGGAGGGGUGUAUUUAUUAGAUUAAAAACCAAUGCCCUCCGGGGCUCCAGGGUGAUUCACGAUAACUUCUCGGAUCGCACGGCCUUGUGCCGGCGAUGGUUCAUUCAAAUUUCUGCCCUAUCAACUUUCGAUGGCUGGGUCUUGGCCAGCCAUGGUGACAACGGGUAACGGAGGGUUAGGGCUCGACCCCGGAGAAGGGGCCUGAGAGACGGCCACUACAUCCAAGGAAGGCAGCAGGCGCGCAAAUUACCCAAUCCCGAUUCGGGGAGGUAGUGACAAUAAAUACUGAUACAGGGCUCUUUUGGGUCUUGUAAUUGGAAGAGUACAAUUUAAGUCCCUUAACGAGGAACAGUUGGAGGGCAAGUUG
RNAcentral lists this ribosomal RNA (522 nucleotides) under uncultured Phyllachora. RNAcentral describes it as "SSU rRNA". It matches the Rfam family "Eukaryotic small subunit ribosomal RNA", at positions 35 to 562 of the family's 1831-position model. The record is from RNAcentral. Lineage: Eukaryota; Fungi; Ascomycota; Sordariomycetes; Phyllachorales; Phyllachoraceae.